RNAcentral lists this long non-coding RNA (530 nucleotides) under Homo sapiens (human). Its description in RNAcentral is "long non-coding RNA NONHSAT115353". Lineage: Eukaryota; Metazoa; Chordata; Mammalia; Primates; Hominidae. The record is from RNAcentral.
CGACCACAGAACCUCAGGCUGAUAGUUGUUCACUAACUCAUAGAGCUCUGGCAAUGUCUUAGAAACUGGAAAUUGCCGCUUAUGGAAUGAACUGGAUUCAUCCUCAAGGAAGAGCGGAUGAAACCAUUCAAAAAGGGAAUAGUACAGUCCAAAACGCAGAUUUUAAGGUCCUUAAGGGAUUGCAUCAUGUCUGCAGUGCUCCCUGCUAUGUCUCCAGCCAACUGCUAGCACAAGGUUCUGGCUCUGUCACCCAGGCUGGAGUUCAGUGGUGCGAACUUCGCUCACUGCAUCCUCGACCUCCUGGGCUCAAGUGAUGCUCCCACCUCAGCCUACCAAGUAGCUAGGACUACAGCUUGGGAAAGUUCCUAGACAUCAGGAAAUCAGCAUGUUCUCAAGCAAAUACACUUGAUAGACAUUCAUCUCAGCAGGAUAAAUAUCUACAGGAGAAAAUCAUGAAGCUACCAGAAUGUGGCCAAAGGGAAAAAUAUCCUAUGAUCAUUCCAGAUUUUUUGUGUUGGUUCUCCUCUCCU